RNAcentral lists this ribosomal RNA (729 nucleotides) under uncultured bacterium. Its description in RNAcentral is "bacterial SSU rRNA". It matches the Rfam family "Bacterial small subunit ribosomal RNA", at positions 136 to 851 of the family's 1533-position model. The record is from RNAcentral.
GAGGGGGAUAACACUUGGAAACAGGUGCUAAUACCGCAUAACCAUAGUUACCGCAUGGUAACUAUGUAAAAGGUGGCUAUGCUACCGCUUUUGGAUGGGCCCGCGGCGCAUUAGCUAGUUGGUGGGGUAAAGGCUUACCAAGGCAAUGAUGCGUAGCCGAACUGAGAGGUUGAUCGGCCACAUUGGGACUGAGACACGGCCCAAACUCCUACGGGUGGCAGCAGUAGGGAAUCUUCCACAAUGGGCGAAAGCCUGAUGGAGCAACGCCGCGUGGGUGAAGAAGGUCUUCGGAUCGUAAAACCCUGUUGUUAGAGAAGAAAGUGCGUGAGAGUAACUGUUCACGUUUCGACGGUAUCUAACCAGAAAGCCACGGCUAACUACGUGCCAGCAGCCGCGGUAAUACGUAGGUGGCAAGCGUUAUCCGGAUUUAUUGGGCGUAAAGGGAACGCAGGCGGUCUUUUAAGUCUGAUGUGAAAGCCUUCGGCUUAACCGGAGUAGUGCAUUGGAAACUGGGAGACUUGAGUGCAGAAGAGGAGAGUGGAACUCCAUGUGUAGCGGUGAAAUGCGUAGAUAUAUGGAAGAACACCAGUGGCGAAAGCGGCUCUCUGGUCUGUAACUGACGCUGAGGUUCGAAAGCGUGGGUAGCAAACAGGAUUAGAUACCCUGGUAGUCCACGCCGUAAACGAUGAAUGCUAAGUGUUGGAGGGUUUCCGCCCUUCAGUGCUGCAG